GUCUGGUUAACAGAUUUAGGAGGUUAUAGCAGCCAUAUUGGAAGGUCUGGUUAACAGAUUUAGGAUGUUAUAAGCAGCCAUAUUGGAAGGUCUGGUUAACAGAUUUAGGAUGUUAUAGCAGCCAUAUUGGAAGGUCUGGUUAACAGAUUUAGGAUGUUAUAGCAGCCAUAUUGGAAGGUCUGGUUAACAGAUUUAGGAGGUUAUAGCAGCCAUAUUGGAAGGUCUGGUUAAUAGAUUUAGGAGGUUAUAGCACCCAUAUUGGAAGGUCUGGUUAACAGAUUUAGGAUGUUAUAAGCAGCCAUGUUGGAAGGUCUGGUGGGAACUACACAGGAGGCCUGAGACAGAGCAUUGACAGAGCAGCGCCUGGUUGACUUGAUCUAGUCCCAAAUGGCACCCUAUCCUCUACAUAGUGCACUACUACUUUUGAACUACGAAAGGUAACAGGGUUCCAUUUGGACCGUAACCUUGGAGACAGCCAGCUGUGUUUUCCCACAUCUCGCUGUGGUUUAUGGCUGUUCCCUGCUCUC
Molecule: long non-coding RNA, 527 nt
Organism: Oncorhynchus tshawytscha (Chinook salmon)
Lineage: Eukaryota; Metazoa; Chordata; Actinopteri; Salmoniformes; Salmonidae
Source: Ensembl